GGCUUGUUACCUUGACAUUUCAUGUGGGUAACAUGCUCCCGGCGUCGUGAAUAAAGCUGCAGUCUCACACCAGUUGUCUUGGAUUAAUUUUGACCACAUUAAUGGCGACGAGGAUGGGAUUACCUAUCAAUGAGGCACAGUGAGGAGGACCAAAGGCGCAGGACCCCAACCAUGUCGACUGGAGGGAGAUCUCUUUGUGAUCUUGGGAGAAGGCCGUCAUCGGCAACAAACACUGCUUUGCGGCACCCAGCCUGGCCAGAGGGAAUCCUCCUGUGUUUCGGAUACGGUAACGACCGUAUUCGGUGGUCACAGACAACGUGGUGGUGGCCUCAGCCCUUCAAAAAAAAAAAACUUCCAGGACACACCCAGCCAAGCCAGGCUCCUGGAGACUCAUCAAAGAUUUGUAAAGGACACUGGAACCUCAUCAAGUGUUCUUAGCGACACCUACAGCCAUGAGGAUUGCGGAUAGAGACUCUUGGGUCCAUUUGUCACACUAUAGAGUGGUGAAGAAUCCGGAACAAUACAUGGAUUGAACUGAGUAUCAUAACCAACAGGUGGUUGCACGAGAGGAUUGACAAACAUUUUUUGCAAUAGGCUGAAGAAUACAUAUUUUGAAGAGGAUUAAUAAAAUAUCACUAGCAUCUUAUAAGAAUAUUCUUUCUCAGUUUAGCUAGUUACAAGUUUGUUGUUUUGGUUUAUUUUUAUUUUUGACAGUAACCUGAGGAGGGACUAAACCACCAAAGUCAGCUCUGCUGUUGAAGACUAGGAUUAGGUUUUAUUUUGGGUUUGAAUAACUGAGAAGACGAGAUGUUGGUGAUUGUUUUGCUUAUUAUUCAUCUAAGGGUUAUAACUUUCUCCCUUAAGGAUGAAGUGUGUGGUAACAAUAAAGUAUGUGAGUUAGCCUUUUGUGUCAAAACAACAUUAACAGGAAAUAAUGACACAUGUUGGGUAUGCCAAUCUUUUCAGGUGCAAGCGUUUCCCUAUAUGACUUCUCAGGACUUUGUAUGUGCAGCAGUUCAACUACAGUAUGUACAAGCCCUCAGUGUCUUUCAGCAGUGGCAUGAUCCCAUGCCAAGGGGAACUUAUGAAGAUUCAGAUAAAUACUAGAUAUUAAGAUAGAAGAACAUGGUAAUGACAGAAGUAUAACAGAAGUCUGACCUUGUGUUGAAUGCUCGGUGUAAAUGAUAAUGACGCUUGUGAUUUCUUUUGUUUAUUGUGUCAUUUAUAUAUAUUACUGCAUUAAGAAUGUAGCUUUAUAGCUCCACAGGGGGGAAUAUGUGGGAUAAAUUUUAUAUGUCUCUCAUUGAAUGUUUAGUAUACCUUACAUACAUGUAGUGAAAUCUAAUUGUCAUCUCCUUACUCUGACCCUUGUGUUUUCGGAAACUCCUAUGUUAGAAUGUUUAGUUAAAUUAACCCUUGUGUCAGCAAAUUGUGGGUAACCCUCAGGAUGGGGGGUCAUAAACAUUUCUUAUCUUUGUCAAAACA
Long non-coding RNA from Alosa sapidissima (American shad), 1485 nucleotides. RefSeq lists it as uncharacterized. The transcript has 2 exons. Lineage: Eukaryota; Metazoa; Chordata; Actinopteri; Clupeiformes; Clupeidae. The record is from RefSeq and is a predicted model, not a curated record.